UAGGGAAUCUUCCACAAUGGACGCAAGUCUGAUGGAGCAACGCCGCGUGAGUGAAGAAGGUCUUCGGAUCGUAAAGCUCUGUUGUUGGUGAAGAAGGAUAGAGGCAGUAACUGGUCUUUAUUUGACGGUAAUCAACCAGAAAGUCACGGCUAACUACGUGCCAGCAGCCGCGGUAAUACGUAGGUGGCAAGCGUUGUCCGGAUUUAUUGGGCGUAAAGCGAGCGCAGGCGGAAUGAUAAGUCUGAUGUGAAAGCCCACGGCUCAACCGUGGAACUGCAUCGGAAACUGUCAUUCUUGAGUGCAGAAGAGGAGAGUGGAACUCCAUGUGUAGCGGUGGAAUGCGUAGAUAUAUGGAAGAACACCAGUGGCGAAGGCGGCUCUCUGGUCUGCAAACUGACGCUGAGGCUCGAAAGCAUGGGUAGCGAACAGGAUUAGAUACCCUGGUAGUCCAUGCCGUAAACGAUGAGCGCUAGGUGUUGGGGACUUUCCGGUCCUCAGUGCCGCAGCAAAACGCAUUAAAG
RNAcentral lists this ribosomal RNA (521 nucleotides) under uncultured bacterium. RNAcentral describes it as "partial 16S ribosomal RNA". It matches the Rfam family "Bacterial small subunit ribosomal RNA", at positions 355 to 864 of the family's 1533-position model. The record is from RNAcentral.